Molecule: small nucleolar RNA, 67 nt
Organism: Trichomycterus rosablanca
Lineage: Eukaryota; Metazoa; Chordata; Actinopteri; Siluriformes; Trichomycteridae
Source: RefSeq, a predicted model, not a curated record
GUGGAGGUGAUGACAAACUAAAUCUUGACUAUCUAUGAUGUUCGAGUAUUCAUACUGUCUGAUUCAU